UACAGAGGGUGCGAGCGUUAAUCGGAAUUACUGGGCGUAAAGCGCGCGUAGGCGGCUUUGCAAGUCGAUUGUGAAAUCCCCGGGCUCAACCUGGGAACUGCAUUCGAGACUGCAUUGCUAGAGUAUGGGAGAGGGAAGUGGAAUUUCAGGUGUAGCGGUGAAAUGCGUAGAUAUCUGAAGGAACAUCAGUGGCGAAAGCGACUUCCUGGACCAAUACUGACGCUCAUGUGCGAAAGCGUGGGGAGCAAAC
RNAcentral lists this ribosomal RNA (250 nucleotides) under uncultured bacterium. Its description in RNAcentral is "partial 16S ribosomal RNA". It matches the Rfam family "Bacterial small subunit ribosomal RNA", at positions 524 to 773 of the family's 1533-position model. The record is from RNAcentral.